This 348-nucleotide long non-coding RNA is filed under the name Helianthus annuus (common sunflower). RNAcentral describes it as "sRNA HanXRQr2_Chr11g0484551". Lineage: Eukaryota; Viridiplantae; Streptophyta; Magnoliopsida; Asterales; Asteraceae. The record is from RNAcentral.
AUGGAAGCUCAGUUCUUUCAGUUUUUGAAGAUAGUUGGAGUUGGUUUCAAAGCAAGAGCUGAAUUCCAAGGGCGGCUUUUGUUUCUAAAAUUUGAAAACCGGGGCCGAAAUUGACAAGAUGGAAGAUUAUAACCACCACCACCACCGAAGGGGUGUGUCCCCCUCCCUUCUCCUCAUACCGAUCGGCCAAGAGACACCACCAAAGGAGACGCAACUGUUCGGAUAAAUGGCUAUAAAUCGACACAACUCUUCACAAGCAAUCUCAUCCACAAGAUCCAAAAGACGCGACUAUUCACGAAGAGACGUGUCCUUUCAUUCGCAUCCAUUCAAGUCUAUAAAUAGGGCUGA